AGCGAACGCUGGCGGCAGGCCUAAUACAUGCAAGUCGAGCGCACCUUCGGGUGAGCGGCGGACGGGUGAGUAACGCGUGGGAAUAUGCCCUUUGGUACGGAACAACUGAGGGAAACUUCA
RNAcentral lists this ribosomal RNA (120 nucleotides) under uncultured bacterium. Its description in RNAcentral is "partial 16S ribosomal RNA". It matches the Rfam family "Bacterial small subunit ribosomal RNA", at positions 29 to 161 of the family's 1533-position model. The record is from RNAcentral.